RNAcentral lists this ribosomal RNA (418 nucleotides) under uncultured bacterium. RNAcentral's name for it is "bacterial SSU rRNA". It matches the Rfam family "Bacterial small subunit ribosomal RNA", at positions 917 to 1333 of the family's 1533-position model. The record is from RNAcentral.
GGACCCGCACAAGUAGUGGAGCAUGUGGUUUAAUUCGAAGAUACGCGCAGAACCUUACCAACACUUGACAUGUUCGUCGCGACUUUAAGAGAUUAAAGUUUUCGGUUCGGCCGGACGAAACACAGGUGCUGCAUGGCUGUCGUCAGCUCGUGUCGUGAGAUGUUGGGUUAAGUCCCGCAACGAGCGCAACCCUCACUUUUAGUUGCCAUCAUUUAGUUGGGCACUCUGAAAGAACUGCCAGUGAUAAGCUGGAGGAAGGUGGGGAUGACGUCAAGUCCUCAUGGCCCUUACGUGUUGGGCUACACACGUGCUACAAUGGUACUUACAACAGGAAGCAAAACGGCGACGUUAAGCAAAUCCUUAAAAAGUACCUCAGUUCGGAUUGCACUCUGCAACUCGAGUGCAUGAAGCUGGAAUU